CUAGACGAGUUUGAUCAUGGCUCAGAUUGAACGCUGGCGGAAUGCUUUACACAUGCAAGUCGAGCGGCAGCGCGGGGGCAACCCUGGCGGCGAGCGGCGAACGGGUGAGUAACAUAUCGGAACGUACCCAGUCGUGGGGGAUAACUAUCCGAAAGGAUAGCUAAUACCGCAUACGUCCUGAGGGAGAAAGCGGGGGAUCGCAAGACCUCGCGCGAUUGGAGCGGCCGAUAUCGGAUUAGCUAGUUGGUGGGGUAAAGGCUCACCAAGGCGACGAUCCGUAGCGGGUCUGAGAGGACGACCCGCCACACUGGAACUGAGACACGGUCCAGACUCCUACGGGAGGCAGCAGUGGGGAAUUUUGGACAAUGGGGGCAACCCUGAUCCAGCCAUUCCGCGUGAGUGAAGAAGGCCUUCGGGUUGUAAAGCUCUUUCAGCAGGAACGAAACGGUGGUCCCUAAUACGGACUACUAAUGACGGUACCUGAAGAAGAAGCACCGGCUAACUACGUG
This 509-nucleotide ribosomal RNA is filed under the name uncultured bacterium. RNAcentral's name for it is "bacterial SSU rRNA". It matches the Rfam family "Bacterial small subunit ribosomal RNA", at positions 1 to 507 of the family's 1533-position model. The record is from RNAcentral.